RNAcentral lists this ribosomal RNA (377 nucleotides) under uncultured bacterium. Its description in RNAcentral is "bacterial SSU rRNA". It matches the Rfam family "Bacterial small subunit ribosomal RNA", at positions 523 to 898 of the family's 1533-position model. The record is from RNAcentral.
AUACGUAGGGGGCGAGCGUUGUCCGGAAUUACUGGGCGUAAAGGGUGCGCAGGCGGCCGAUUAAGUUGGAUGUGAAAUACCCGGGCUUAACUUGGGUUGUGCAUUCAAAACUGGUUGGCUAGAGUGCAGGAGAGGGAAGCGGAAUUCCUAGUGUAGCGGUGAAAUGCGUAGAUAUUAGGAGGAACACCAGUGGCGAAGGCGGCUUUCUGGACUGUAACUGACGCUGAGGCACGAAAGCGUGGGGAGCAAACAGGAUUAGAUACCCUGGUAGUCCACGCUGUAAACGAUGAAUACUAGGUGUAGGGGGUAUGAACUCCCCCUGUGCCGGAGCAAACGCAAUAAGUAUUCCGCCUGGGGAGUACGGCCGCAAGGUUGAA